RNAcentral lists this ribosomal RNA (379 nucleotides) under Bacteroidota bacterium. Its description in RNAcentral is "bacterial SSU rRNA". It matches the Rfam family "Bacterial small subunit ribosomal RNA", at positions 1 to 377 of the family's 1533-position model. Lineage: Bacteria; Pseudomonadati; Bacteroidota. The record is from RNAcentral.
ACAAUGGAGAGUUUGAUCCUGGCUCAGGAUGAACGCUAGCGGCAGGCUUAAUACAUGCAAGUCGUGGGGCAGCGCGGGUAGCAAUAUCUGGCGGCGACCGGCAAACGGGUGCGGAACACGUACGCAACCUUCCUUCAAGUGGGGGAUAGCCCAGGGAAACUUGGAUUAAUACCCCGUAAUAUUAUGAGGUGGCAUCAUCUUAUAAUUAUAGCUUCGGCGCUUGGAGAUGGGCGUGCGGCUGAUUAGGUAGUUGGCGGGGUAACGGCCCACCAAGCCUGCGAUCAGUAACUGGUGUGAGAGCACGACCAGUCACACGGGCACUGAGACACGGGCCCGACUCCUACGGGAGGCAGCAGUAAGGAAUAUUGGUCAAUGGACG